Molecule: ribosomal RNA, 120 nt
Filed under: Gaeumannomyces tritici R3-111a-1
Lineage: Eukaryota; Fungi; Ascomycota; Sordariomycetes; Magnaporthales; Magnaporthaceae
Description: rRNA GGTG_20274
Source: RNAcentral
ACGACCAUACCCAUUGGAAUAUACGGGAUCCCGUCCGCUCUCCCCUAGUUAAACCAGUAAGGGCCAUUUUGUACUGUGAGACAGUUGGGUUCCCGCACUGGCCAAUCAACCGCCGGGUUU